GACGAACGCUGGCGGCGUGCCUAAUACAUGCAAGUAGAACGCUGAAGGAGGAGCUUGCUUCUCUGGAUGAGUUGCGAACGGGUGAGUAACGCGUAGGUAACCUGCCUGGUAGCGGGGGAUAACUAUUGGAAACGAUAGCUAAUACCGCAUAAUAGCAGUUGUUGCAUGACAACUGUUUGAAAGGUGCAAUUGCACCACUACCAGAUGGACCUGCGUUGUAUUAGCUAGUUGGUGGGGUAACGGCUCACCAAGGCGACGAUACAUAGCCGACCUGAGAGGGUGAUUGGCCACACUGGGAGUGAGACACGGCCCAGACUCCUACGGGAAGCAGCAGUAGGGAAUCUUCGGCAAUGGACGGAAGUCUGACCGAGCAACGCCGCGUGAGUGAAGAAGGUUUUCGGAUCGUAAAGCUCUGUUGUAAGAGAAGAACGAGUGUGAGAGUGGAAAGUUCACACUGUGACGGUAUCUUAACAGAAAGGGACGGCUAACUACGUG
RNAcentral lists this ribosomal RNA (495 nucleotides) under uncultured bacterium. Its description in RNAcentral is "partial 16S ribosomal RNA". It matches the Rfam family "Bacterial small subunit ribosomal RNA", at positions 28 to 507 of the family's 1533-position model. The record is from RNAcentral.